Long non-coding RNA from Cydia strobilella, 201 nucleotides. RefSeq lists it as uncharacterized. The record is from RefSeq and is a predicted model, not a curated record. The transcript is spliced from 3 exons. Lineage: Eukaryota; Metazoa; Arthropoda; Insecta; Lepidoptera; Tortricidae.
GGCGUGGUUAAAUUCGUCCCACAUUCAUUGUACUUAUGUGAAGUGCCUUAGAAAACGCGGGUGGCGGCUUCAGUCAUGAUGAUGUCGAGAAUUGGUAGAAUCAGCAUGCUGCUGGAGGCAGCUCGGGUGAUGGAGGAGGCUGAACGGUUACUCCACGUUCAUGUCAAAGAGGAAACAGUUGAGAUAGAAGAUGACGACACA